UAAUUCUCUUAUUAUUUUUAUUUACUUAUUUUUAGUUAAUAAUUUUUAGUAUGAAAUAUUUAAAGGGAUGAGCUUUUAAUUAUAUUAUUAAAAAUUUUUAUUUUGUUUAUUUUUGUAUAAUUUGUAUUGUUAAUCAUAUGAAUAAUUUAAUAGUUAAUUUUAUUUUAUUUAAAAUUUGUAUUAAUUUUAAUUUUUAUAUUAAAAAAUUUUGUUUAAUAUUUUUUCUUAAGUUAUAAUGAUUAAAUUAGUAGAUAAAUUUGUAAAUAUUUUUUUAUUUUUAGAUAAUAAGAAGGAAUUCGGCAAAUAUAUUUUUCGCCUGUUUAUUAAAAACAUGUUUUUUUGAUAAUAAUUUAAAAUUUAAUCUGCUCAAUGAUUAUUUAAAUUGCCGCAGUAUUUUAACUGUGCAAAGGUAGCAUAAUAAUUAGCUUUUUUAUUGGAAGCUGGAAUGAAUGAUUGGACGAGAAAAUUUCUGUCUCUUUAUUAAUUUUAUUUAAUUUUACUUUUAAGUUAAAAGGCUUAAAUUUUUUUAAAAGACGAGAAGACCCUAUAGAGUUUAAUUUAUUGAAGAUUAUUUUUUAUUGGUAUUUUUAAAUUUAUUUUUUAAUAAAUUUAGUUGGGGUGACUAAAAGAUUAAUUAAACUCUUUUAAUUUUAAUCAAUUGUAUUUGAAUAUAAAAUCUAUAUUUUUAAAUUUAAAAUAAAUUACCUUAGGGAUAACAGCGUAAUUUUUUUUUAAAGUUCAUAUUAAAAGAAAAGUUUGCGACCUCGAUGUUGGAUUAAAAUUUAUUUUAGGUGUAGAAGCUUAAAAAUUGAGUCUGUUCGA
This 822-nucleotide ribosomal RNA is filed under the name Luciola tsushimana. RNAcentral describes it as "partial 16S rRNA". The record is from RNAcentral. Lineage: Eukaryota; Metazoa; Arthropoda; Insecta; Coleoptera; Lampyridae.